GUGCCCUGGCUCCGCCCCCUCCCGUAACCCUCCCUGUUGUGCCCGAUCCUAGCACUCCUGGGCUACACCGCUUCUCUUUCUGAACCCAGGACCCACCCCUCCCAUGAUCCCGACCCCGACCCCGGACACCCACGGCUGAAGAGCCUGGCCACAGGCCUCCUCUUCCUGUAGCCAGGCUCAACCCCCUCUGUCGACUUCCCCUGUUGUGCCCAAUCCUGGUGCUGCCAGGCUAUGCCCCUCCUCUUCAUCAACCCAGGCCCGCCCCCUGCAUGCCCCUCCCAUGGCCCAGCCCCAGGAUGCCCUUAGCUGAGGAGCCUGGCCACGCCCCUUCUCCUGUAGCCAGGCUCCGCCCCCUCCCACGACCUUACCAGUUGCACACCCUGCUCUCUGAAUCUUUCCCACCUCCUGACUAAAGCACUGCAGUCAGCCAUGCUUUAUGUCCAGCAGAGACCCUUCUAGAGGGGUCGCCACAGAGCGCUGCUUCAUCUCUCUCCUCAGCAGGCGAGGAGCCUCCUACUAUGACCUUGGCCGCCUCCCCUGGGCAGGUUGAGGUGUGAGCACCUGCGGGCCUCACCAACCCCAGGCCUCACCUUCCCGCCAAGCCUGCCCCAGGCGUCCCUCAUGCUGAGCAGCGUGAGUGUGAGGGGCAGCAGAAUCUCACCCUGUAAUUCAGGCUGGCUUUGAACUCAUGGUGAUCCUCCUGCCUCAGCCUCCUGAGUGAUAGGAUUACAGCUGUCUGCUCAGAGCUCUGUCAUUGGAAGUCAAGCUUCAGGACAUUCUGUUGCAUGGAAGGAGGGUAGAGCAGCCAAGGGUGUUGGAAGCCCAUGGACACUUUGAACUCUACACCAACUGUCUCAUCUUCACCUUGACCUGGUCAUGGAGCCUCUGAGCCAAGGCCACUCAGUUGAGUGUACACUGGUUUGUGUGGUACAAUGCCAUGUCUGCCUACACUCUCAUGCCUGUGGGAUCUGUGGGCAAUGCACAGCUCCCUGCUUGAUUCCUGGAUUUGUUGACUCCAGUUAAAAUCAUCUGAGGCCUCUCCACCAAGGCUCUCUUGCUCUGGGUCUCCUUAGGCCAUCCUUCAAUCUCCACUGGCCAUGUGGAUUCUCUCCCUUCCUCACUCACCCUCUUGCUGCUCAAGGCAGCUAUGAGUUCUGUAGAACACAGUCCUCCCCUGACCUCUCUCCACCUGCUUGUCUCUUCCCAUCCCCACCUUAGCAGGCCCCUCAGUUUCUUGGGGAAGUUACAUGGGACGUGUGUUCAUGCAUUCUAAAUCCCACCUUACUGACUCUAACUGCCAAUGUGUUUGCCCCUGGGGAUCCAUUGGGAAGUGAUGAGCUCUUCUAAAGGGGUAUCUUUAUUUCAUCUCUGUGUACCUGGAGGGAGGAAGGAGGAGUUGAGGAGGAGAAAUCAAGAAAGCAGGAGAAUAGAGCAGAGGACAAUAUAAGAUGUAACUAGACAGGAUCUUCUGACUGAGAAAAAAUAGAAAUGAGACCCAGGAGUCAGAGGAUUUGCUGCCAGAGGUGGAAUGGGGUGUGACUUGACAUCUAUUAUCUCAUCUGGCUCCUCCAUUUCCUUGCAGAGAGGGUGUACUAUCACAGAGGGAGGUGAAUUUAUCUUGGUGUACAGAAAAUCUGGUAGGUGGAGAUCAACUUCAUUGGAAGAUUUGCUUUUGGAGGUGGAAUGGGGUCAGGCUCAACCUCUUUUGUAUGGCUUUCUCUGUUCUUCCUUGGAUGAAAUGCAUGCUGCCACUUUGGGAGGUGGUUCUGUCUCAGUGGAUGGAG
This 1784-nucleotide long non-coding RNA is filed under the name Heterocephalus glaber (naked mole-rat). RNAcentral's name for it is "lncRNA (ENSHGLG00000036395.1)". Lineage: Eukaryota; Metazoa; Chordata; Mammalia; Rodentia; Bathyergidae. The record is from RNAcentral.